RNAcentral lists this ribosomal RNA (217 nucleotides) under uncultured fungus. Its description in RNAcentral is "partial small subunit ribosomal RNA". The stretch from base 104 to 217 matches the Rfam family "Eukaryotic small subunit ribosomal RNA", at positions 749 to 864 of the family's 1831-position model. Lineage: Eukaryota; Fungi. The record is from RNAcentral.
GGUACGGUGCGCGUGGCCCGCCGCCUCUGGUGUGCGAGUGUCGCUUGUGCGUCUACCAUCCUAUAGCCUAACCUGGCUCUUUCCAUAGUCAGGUAAAGCUAUUCUUUUACUUUGAAGAAAUUAGAGUGUUCAAAGCAUGCUUGCGCUAUGAAUAUAUUAGCAUGGAAUAAUAAUUUAGGACUUUGUUCCUAUUUUGUUGGUUUUAAGGAAUAAAGUA